GAUCAUGGCUCAGGAUGAACGCUAGCUACAGGCUUAACACAUGCAAGUCGAGGGGCAUCAGGAAGAAAGCUUGCUUUCUUUGCUGGCGACCGGCGCACGGGUGAGUAACACGUAUCCAACCUGCCCUUUACUCGGGGAUAGCCUUUCGAAAGAAAGAUUAAUACCCGAUGGCAUAAUGAUUCCGCAUGGUUUCAUUAUUAAAGGAUUCCGGUAAAGGAUGGGGAUGCGUUCCAUUAGUNUUGUGG
RNAcentral lists this ribosomal RNA (245 nucleotides) under uncultured bacterium. RNAcentral describes it as "partial 16S ribosomal RNA". It matches the Rfam family "Bacterial small subunit ribosomal RNA", at positions 15 to 252 of the family's 1533-position model. The record is from RNAcentral.